CACGGCCCAGACUCCUACGGGAGGCAGCAGUGGGGAAUAUUGCACAAUGGGCGAAAGCCUGAUGCAGCGACGCCGCGUGAGGGAUGACGGCCUUCGGGUUGUAAACCUCUUUCAGCAGGGAAGAAGCGAGAGUGACGGUACCUGCAGAAGAAGCGCCGGCUAACUACGUGCCAGCAGCCGCGGUAAUACGUAGGGCGCAAGCGUUGUCCGGAAUUAUUGGGCGUAAAGAGCUCGUAGGCGGCUUGUCACGUCGGAUGUGAAAGCCCGGGGCUUAACCCCGGGUCUGCAUUCGAUACGGGCAGGCUAGAGUGUGGUAGGGGAGAUCGGAAUUCCUGGUGUAGCGGUGAAAUGCGCAGAUAUCAGGAGGAACACCGGUGGCGAAGGCGGAUCUCUGGGCCAUUACUGACGCUGAGGAGCGAAAGCGUGGGGAGCGAACAGGAUUAGAUACCCUGGUAGUCCACGCCGUAAACGUUGGGAACUAGGUGUUGGCGACAUUCCACGUCGUCGGUGCCGCAGCUAACGCAUUAAGUUCCCCGCCUGGGGAGUACGGCCGCAAGGCUAAAACUCAAAGGAAUUGACGGGGGCCCGCACAAGCAGCGGAGCAUGUGGCUUAAUU
RNAcentral lists this ribosomal RNA (616 nucleotides) under Streptomyces sp. RNAcentral describes it as "bacterial SSU rRNA". It matches the Rfam family "Bacterial small subunit ribosomal RNA", at positions 325 to 951 of the family's 1533-position model. Lineage: Bacteria; Bacillati; Actinomycetota; Actinomycetes; Kitasatosporales; Streptomycetaceae. The record is from RNAcentral.